RNAcentral lists this ribosomal RNA (253 nucleotides) under uncultured bacterium. RNAcentral's name for it is "partial 16S ribosomal RNA". It matches the Rfam family "Bacterial small subunit ribosomal RNA", at positions 524 to 776 of the family's 1533-position model. The record is from RNAcentral.
UACGUAGGGUGCAAGCGUUAAUCGGAAUUACUGGGCGUAAAGCGUGCGCAGGCGGUUUUGUAAGUCUGUCGUGAAAUCCCCGGGCUCAACCUGGGAAUUGCGAUGGAGACUGCAAGGCUAGAAUCUGGCAGAGGGGGGUAGAAUUCCACGUGUAGCAGUGAAAUGCGUAGAGAUGUGGAGGAAUACCGAUGGCGAAGGCAGCCUCCUGGGCCAACACUGACGCUCAUGCACGAAAGUGUGGGGAGCAAACAGG